This 468-nucleotide ribosomal RNA is filed under the name uncultured bacterium. Its description in RNAcentral is "partial 16S ribosomal RNA". It matches the Rfam family "Bacterial small subunit ribosomal RNA", at positions 28 to 507 of the family's 1533-position model. The record is from RNAcentral.
GACGAACGCUGGCGGCGUGCUUAACACAUGCAAGUCGAACGGAAAGGCCCUGCUUUUGUGGGGUGCUCGAGUGGCGAACGGGUGUGUAACACGUGAGUAACCUGCCCUUGACUUUGGUAUAACUUCAGGAAACUGGGGCUAAUACCGGAUAGGAGCUCCCGCCGCGUGGGGGGGUGGGGAAAGUUUCGGCGGUUGGGGAUGGACUCGCGGCUUAUCAGCUUGUUGGUGGGGUAGUGGCUUACCAAGGCUUUGACGGGUAGCCGGCCUGAGAGGGUGACCGGCCACAUUGGGACUGAGAUACGGCCCAGACUCCUACGGGAGGCAGCAGUGGGGAAUAUUGCACAAUGGGCGGAAGCCUGAUGCAGCAACGCCGCGUGCGGGAUGACGGCCUUCGGGUUGUAAACCGCUUUCGCCUGUGACGAAGCGUGAGUGACGGUAAUGGGUAAAGAAGCACCGGCUAACUACGUG